UUAUAUCAUCAACAUGUUGUUUCAUUCCUGCAGUGGAAAACAGCUAUUUUAUGGCAUUUGAAGCUGUUUACAGUGUUUUUUUUCUUUAGAGAGGCCAAAUGCUGGACACUGCAGAUAAAUUAUGAAGCUUCUGACCACGUUUGACUCUGGGGAGAAGUUUUUUUUUUUAUCUGAAAAACAACCCGGUGUGCAGUUGGAAGCAGCCCUGAAGUAAAAAAAGAAAACAGCAGCCUCACAGAAAGCUGUGCAGCAGCAGAGCCGAGCAGAUUACAGAGGAAAAAAUAAAAACCUGUUAAUAAGAUGAGAAUGUGUUUAUUUGUCACGGUGAGCGGCGCCGCGCUCCCACAGGGUCCGACGGGCUGAAACCAAUAUGUGUUAUAGAAACACACGAGGCCGCGUGUCAUUUCUGCGGCUGAAUUCAUGAAUACUCCAUACAAAUGGAUUUUAAUCUCACUCUCCUGCUUCUGCUCAGACUUUAGACCAGAAGAGGCUCCACAGAUCUGGAGUCUCUUCAGGAUAUUCAGGACGGUUCGUGUCUCUGCUGGUGUGUCGCUGCUCGUCUGCCCUCACAUUCAUGCUUUCAUUCAUGGUUUUGCUCCGUGCUCAGUCUAGACUGGACGGUUCACGUCUCCGACAGCUUUAAUAUGUUCAGAAACGUGAAGCGUCCAGUCUUUUUCCAGACUCAGAGUCCAGUCAGAUCACAUAAAUUUGCGUUGUUGACCAUCAAAUUGUUCUGAGCUGACCUCUGAAGGUACGCAGAGCCGGAGAAUCCAGAAAUACGGAGGCCCUGAGACGCAAAUCACAUCAAAAAAACAUCAGAAAACACAACAAACGUGUGUGGAAGUCAGUGGUGUCUGACUUGUAAACGUCGUCUCUCUCUCUCCCUCUGACUCUAAUAUGAUCCUCCUCGGCCAUCAGGCUUAUUGCUUUCAGAGAGAAAUAAAUUCCUGCGGAGGUAAAUUACCUGCUGUAAGACUUCACCUCUCUGAUUGUUGCAGCUCUAAUCGGCCGCAUUUACCCAGAGUUCCCCUGGUUAUUUGUGAGGACGGAGGCUGGUUUUAUUAACACUCCAUUAACCCUCCAACAGCUUCUGUGAUGUUUGUGUGUGUGUGUGUGUGUGUGUGUGUGUGUGUGUGCAGUCGUACAGCUUUUUAAUGGAAGACAUCUGCUCACAGAGGAUCGUAAAGAGAGCAUGAUGGCGAACCCGAGGCGGCAGAGACGCUCAGGUACGGAAGAUGGACGCCGGCGGCAACAACGCCGACACGUGUGAACACGAGUACACGACAAAAUGUACACGAUGGAAGAUUUCACAGCAUCUUUACCACAGACAGUGAUGGAGAGUAACUGUACUACUGUACUUGAGUAUUUCCAUGUGAUGCUACUUUAUACUUCCACUCCACUACAUUUCAGUGUCUGUGUGACUGUAAACUGUUUCUAUGAAGUCAGGUUGUUUUCUCUCUCUCCCUCCGUCUCCUGCAUCCGUCUCCUCUUCUUCUCUCUGACAGUCUGUUUUCAGCUGUUCGGCCGCAGGGAAGUGUUGUUGGAGAAUAUUGUGUGCGUUCAGAGAGAUAAGACCGAGAGGAACGAGUGGGACACAGGAAACAAUCACAGCAGACGACCUCCUCAAUCACUCUGUUUCUGCUGCUCAUUCAUCUGACCAGCAGUAAAAAUGCUGCAGGAGGCUGGAGGACGACUGUGUGUCUCAGUGAGGAGGUUAAAAAACGUUUGCACACAGAGAAAAACUCUUCUGAGUCGUUGUUCAGUACGGUGUGAAGACACGGCGAGCGACUCCGUGACAGGAAGUGAUGAUGAAACAGGAAACUGUGAUGAGAGUCGGAUUGUUCUGUCUGCAGAUGAUGGAUGUGAAGUCAGACGGAGGUCAGACGGAGGACGAUGUAACAGUCUGUCAGUGGCCAGCCAAUCAGAGAGCACGUUAACCUGCUUCCUGUAAACACACCUGUACCCGCUGAUUAGAGACCAGGUUGUUUACAUGACAUCAGCUGACUGAAGGGGACAAUACUGAUUAUCACCAUCUGUCAGCCGCAACAAAGGAUUGUGGGAACGCAGGAGGAGACGUGGGACGUGGAAACACACACACACACACACACACACACACAAACAGCAGUGUGUGUGUGUGUGUUGAUGAACAGAACAUAAAUAGGUUUAUUGACGACACACAGAGCAGCUUUUAGUGCUUUUCAGAGCCUCCCCUCCUCCUCCUCCUCUUCCUCCUCUUCCUCCCGCUUCUUCUUCUUCUUCUCCUCUAUAUUUAGCGUAGGAAUGAGAAGGUGUCGGCUGAAUCUGCUGCCGCUCAACGUUAAUUAAGAUCCCGGAGUCGCCUUCACACCUCUGACGGCAGCCUUUGUGUGAGGAGAAGCUUGUGGGACGAGCAGCUUCACUGUGUUUCUUUUGUUUCUUUUCUCAGACUUCAUGACUCAUUAUCGUCUCUGCUGCUGUUUGUUCAGAAACACGUUUCUGCUCCUUCACGAUGUUCCACAGAGACGACGAUGAAAGAAUCAGAGAAGAUGUUCAUGUCAAAGACGGGUUUUAUUAUUUAAAAGGCUCAUUCUGUCCAUUUUUUAUGAUAUAAAAGCUAAAAAAAUUACAUUUUUGUGUUUCUGCUCUAAACACAGACGAACAUUAAACCUCAAAGUGUAAAAGUGAAGGAAAAACAUUCAAAUGUAACUCAAGUUUAUAAUGAAUGUUUGUUUCUGUUUGGUGCCAUUAAACCG
Long non-coding RNA from Thunnus maccoyii (southern bluefin tuna), 2732 nucleotides. RefSeq lists it as uncharacterized. The record is from RefSeq and is a predicted model, not a curated record. The transcript has 3 exons. Lineage: Eukaryota; Metazoa; Chordata; Actinopteri; Scombriformes; Scombridae.